RNAcentral lists this ribosomal RNA (785 nucleotides) under Escherichia coli. RNAcentral's name for it is "partial 23S ribosomal RNA". It matches the Rfam family "Bacterial large subunit ribosomal RNA", at positions 612 to 1396 of the family's 2925-position model. The record is from RNAcentral. Lineage: Bacteria; Pseudomonadati; Pseudomonadota; Gammaproteobacteria; Enterobacterales; Enterobacteriaceae.
AUAAUGGGUCAGCGACUUAUAUUCUGUAGCAAGGUUAACCGAAUAGGGGAGCCGAAGGGAAACCGAGUCUUAACUGGGCGUUAAGUUGCAGGGUAUAGACCCGAAACCCGGUGAUCUAGCCAUGGGCAGGUUGAAGGUUGGGUAACACUAACUGGAGGACCGAACCGACUAAUGUUGAAAAAUUAGCGGAUGACUUGUGGCUGGGGGUGAAAGGCCAAUCAAACCGGGAGAUAGCUGGUUCUCCCCGAAAGCUAUUUAGGUAGCGCCUCGUGAAUUCAUCUCCGGGGGUAGAGCACUGUUUCGGCAAGGGGGUCAUCCCGACUUACCAACCCGAUGCAAACUGCGAAUACCGGAGAAUGUUAUCACGGGAGACACACGGCGGGUGCUAACGUCCGUCGUGAAGAGGGAAACAACCCAGACCGCCAGCUAAGGUCCCAAAGUCAUGGUUAAGUGGGAAACGAUGUGGGAAGGCCCAGACAGCCAGGAUGUUGGCUUAGAAGCAGCCAUCAUUUAAAGAAAGCGUAAUAGCUCACUGGUCGAGUCGGCCUGCGCGGAAGAUGUAACGGGGCUAAACCAUGCACCGAAGCUGCGGCAGCGACGCUGAUGCGUUGUUGGGUAGGGGAGCGUUCUGUAAGCCUGCGAAGGUGUGCUGUGAGGCAUGCUGGAGGUAUCAGAAGUGCGAAUGCUGACAUAAGUAACGAUAAAGCGGGUGAAAAGCCCGCUCGCCGGAAGACCAAGGGUUCCUGUCCAACGUUAAUCGGGGCAGGGUGAGUCGACCCCUAAGG